RNAcentral lists this ribosomal RNA (77 nucleotides) under Nitritalea halalkaliphila LW7. Its description in RNAcentral is "partial 16S ribosomal RNA". The record is from RNAcentral. Lineage: Bacteria; Pseudomonadati; Bacteroidota; Cytophagia; Cytophagales; Cyclobacteriaceae.
GAGAGUUUGAUCCUGGCUCAGGAUGAACGCUAGCGGCAGGCCUAAUACAUGCAAGUCGAACGGGAUCCAGAAGCUUG